UCCUUGGUAGUUCAAUGGUAGAACGUCCGGCUGUUAACCGGAAAGUUCCAGGUCCGAGUCCUGGCCAAGGAGCCU
RNAcentral lists this transfer RNA (75 nucleotides) under Alphaproteobacteria bacterium RIFCSPHIGHO2_01_FULL_40_8. Its description in RNAcentral is "tRNA-Asn". It matches the Rfam family "tRNA". From Rfam's summary of the family: Transfer RNA (tRNA) molecules are approximately 80 nucleotides in length. Their secondary structure includes four short double-helical elements and three loops (D, anti-codon, and T loops). Lineage: Bacteria; Pseudomonadati; Pseudomonadota; Alphaproteobacteria. The record is from RNAcentral. RNAcentral also lists the same sequence under 2 other names.